CCCUUAGAUGUUCUGGGCCGCACGCGCGCUACACUGAUGCAUUCAACGAGCACCCGCUGGGCCGAGAGGUCCAGCUAAUCUUUGAACGUGCAUCGUGCUGGGGAUAGAUGAUUGCAAUUAUUCAUCUUCAACGAGGAAUUCCUAGUAAACGCAAGUCAUCAGCUUGCAUUGAUUACGUCCCUGCCCUUUGUACACACCGCCCGUCGCACCUACCGAUUGAAUGGUCCGGUGAAAUUCUCGGACGCGGACUUGCGAUGUUAAUUCGGAGCUUGACUGUGAAAGUUAAUUAAACCUUACCAUUUAGAGGAAGGUGAAGUCGUAACA
Molecule: ribosomal RNA, 324 nt
Filed under: uncultured eukaryote
Lineage: Eukaryota
Description: partial 18S ribosomal RNA
Rfam family: Eukaryotic small subunit ribosomal RNA
Source: RNAcentral